Molecule: ribosomal RNA, 497 nt
Filed under: uncultured bacterium
Lineage: Bacteria
Description: partial 16S ribosomal RNA
Rfam family: Bacterial small subunit ribosomal RNA
Source: RNAcentral
GAUGAACGCUGGCGGCGUGCCUAAUACAUGCAAGUCGAGCGAACGGACGAGAAGCUUGCUUCUCUGAUGUUAGCGGCGGACGGGUGAGUAACACGUGGAUAACCUACCUAUAAGACUGGGAUAACUUCGGGAAACCGGAGCUAAUACCGGAUAAUAUUUUGAACCGCAUGGUUCAAAAGUGAAAGACGGUCUUGCUGUCACUUAUAGAUGGAUCCGCGCUGCAUUAGCUAGUUGGUAAGGUAACGGCUUACCAAGGCAACGAUGCAUAGCCGACCUGAGAGGGUGAUCGGCCACAGUGGAACUGAGACACGGUCCAGACUCCUACGGGAGGCAGCGGUAGGGAAGCUUCCGCGAUGGGCGAAAGCCUGACGGAGCAACGCCGCGUGAGUGAUGAGGGUCUUCGGAUCGGAAAACUCUGUUAUUAGGGAAGAACAUAUGUGUAAGUAACUGUGCACAUCUUGACGGUACCUAAUCAGAAAGCCACGGCUAACUACGUG